UAAGUGAUGGCGACCGGCGCACGGGUGAGUAACACGUAUCCAACCUGCCGAUAACUCGGGGAUAGCCUUUCGAAAGAAAGAUUAAUACCCGAUGGUAUAAUAAAGCCGCAUGGUUUAAUUAUUAAAGAAUUCGGUUAUCGAUGGGGAUGCGUUCCAUUAGGCAGUUGGUGAGGUAACGGCUCACCAAACCUUCGAUGGAUAGGGGUUCUGAGAGGAAGGUCCCCCACAUUGGAACUGAGACACGGUCCAA
Molecule: ribosomal RNA, 250 nt
Filed under: uncultured bacterium
Lineage: Bacteria
Description: partial 16S ribosomal RNA
Rfam family: Bacterial small subunit ribosomal RNA
Source: RNAcentral